AUCUACAGCCAUGCUGCCCUGAACAAGCUUGAUCCAGUCUGAUCGCGGAAGCUAAGCAGGGUCAGGCCUGGUUAGUACUUGGAUGGGAGACCACCUAGGAAGACAAGGUGCUUUAGGCA
Molecule: ribosomal RNA, 119 nt
Filed under: Pteropus alecto (black flying fox)
Lineage: Eukaryota; Metazoa; Chordata; Mammalia; Chiroptera; Pteropodidae
Source: RNAcentral